GUUUGAUCAUGGCUCAGGACGAACGCUGGCGGCGUGCCUAACACAUGCAAGUCGAGCGGGGUCAAAGUUCAACACUGAGUAUUUGGGCAAACGUUGGUUUUGUGACCAGCGUUAUGCAGAAACUACAUUAGAAUAUUAAAUAAAGUUUCUGCAUCAUGCUAUUUAGUGAAUAACCCAAGCCCAAGUAUUGAGUGUUGAACUUUGACCUAGCGGCGGACGGGUGAGUAACGCGUGAGCAACCUACCUUGCACAGGGGGAUAACACCCGGAAACGGGUGCUAAUACCGCAUAAGACCCCACUAUCGCAUGAUAGAGAGGUCAAAGGGCAUAACCGGUGCAAGAUGGGCUCGCGUCCCAUUAGCUAGUUGGUGAGGUAACGGCUCACCAAGGCGACGAUGGGUAGCCGACCUGAGAGGGUGAUCGGCCACACUGGGACUGAGACACGGCCCAGACUCCUACGGGAGGCAGCAGUGGGGAAUAUUGCGCAAUGGGGGGAACCCUGACGCAGCGACGCCGCGUGAGUGAAGAAGGUCUUCGGAUCGUA
This 543-nucleotide ribosomal RNA is filed under the name uncultured bacterium. RNAcentral's name for it is "bacterial SSU rRNA". It matches the Rfam family "Bacterial small subunit ribosomal RNA", at positions 11 to 427 of the family's 1533-position model. The record is from RNAcentral.